RNAcentral lists this ribosomal RNA (500 nucleotides) under uncultured bacterium. RNAcentral describes it as "partial 16S ribosomal RNA". It matches the Rfam family "Bacterial small subunit ribosomal RNA", at positions 30 to 523 of the family's 1533-position model. The record is from RNAcentral.
AUUGAGCGCUGGCGGAAUGCUUUACACAUGCAAGUCGAACGGCAGCACGGACUUCGGUCUGGUGGCGAGUGUCGAACGGGUGAGUAAUGUAUCGGAACGUGCCCAGUCGUGGGGGAUAACGUAGUGAAAAUUACGCUAAUACCGCAUACGAGCUAUGGAUGAAAGCGGGGGAUCGCAAGACCUCGCGCGAUUCGAGCGGCCCAUAUCAGAUUAGGUAGGUGGUGGGGUAAAGGCCCACCAAGCCAACGAUCUGUAGCUGGUCUGAGAGGAGGACCAGACACACUGGAACUGAGACACGGUCCAGACUCCUACGGGAGGCAGCAGUGGGGAAUUUUGGACAAUGGGCGCAAGCCUGAUCCAGCCAUUCCGCGUGCAGGAUGAAGGCCCUCGGGUUGUAAACUGCUUUUGUACAGAACGAAAAGGUUUCUACUAAUACUAGGAGCUCAUGACGGUACUGUAAGAAUAAGCACCGGCUAACUACGUGCCAGCAGCCGCCGUAA